GGUGGGUGAGGCGCAACUCUUGGGUGUCCUAUGGCAUAUUCUGUGCAUGUAUUAUUUAUUCCAAUAAAAUAUUACAACAAAACAAUACAAACAGAUUUUACUCAAACAUGACAAACAUAAAGCAUUUGGAAUAAAUCAUUAAUGAAUCAUGUUUUAAUGGGACAUUAUGUAUGGAAUUUUAAAUUCUACAUUUUGUUUUAAGCAGCAUCAUAGUUAGGAUUGUCAUCACCGUGGUGGCAGAGUCUAAAGAUCAGAUACAUCCGUCUCAGCACAUUUAAAAUUAAGCUGAUAACGGUAAAAUUAUCUCAGCUGUGUCUGCACUAUCUGCUGAUGACAUCUAAUAUUUAUAAGAUAAUGAAACAUUCAUGAAAAAUAUGCUUACAGCAUUACCAUAUGACUGACCGAAGGCUCGAGUUUAAUUUAACCAGUCUGACAAAAAUCUCACAUCCCUUUUUGGGCCUGUAAAUUUACUAUGAAUGUGAACUAUAGCUCGUUUUAGUGUGUAUGAACUGAAGACAGAACUAGCUGUCGUGAAGUGUGAACUUGCACAGCACUGUGUGUUCCAGAUUAAUAUGUUAACAUAAUACACUGUACAGUCCAUGCUGGUGGCUCUGAGAGGCUGUGGGCCUACUUACAGGGACAGCGAUGCUUUCAGCUAAAUCUAAAUGUUAGCAUGCUAACUUACUUAAAUGUUGGUAUGCUAACUCACAGUGAGGAUGUUAAUAAGCUAAUAUUUAAAAGGCGGACAUUUGCAGUGUUCACCUUCUGUGUUUAGCAUGUUACAAAGCAGGAAAUGUGAUUUUACAAACUUGUUUCGAACAAAUGUUUUAGACAAAUUUAAAAUUGUCUAAACCUGAAGGUAACCCUGAAGGAAAAGUCAGAGGAUCAAUAAACAAGUUAGGCUGUGUCUGGGGACCACACAAAACAUAAAACAGCAAAAAGAAAAUAGAAAAUACUGUAAUAAUAAUAAUAAUGGUACUUGUAAAGGUCUGAAGUUAUCAGAUAACAAUGAUCUUUUAGGGACCACUUGUAAAAAAAAAAAAAUUA
Molecule: long non-coding RNA, 1047 nt
Organism: Scatophagus argus
Lineage: Eukaryota; Metazoa; Chordata; Actinopteri; Scatophagidae
Exons: 2
Source: RefSeq, a predicted model, not a curated record